Molecule: long non-coding RNA, 648 nt
Organism: Micropterus dolomieu (smallmouth bass)
Lineage: Eukaryota; Metazoa; Chordata; Actinopteri; Centrarchiformes; Centrarchidae
Exons: 2
Source: RefSeq, a predicted model, not a curated record
CUCUGGCAGCUCGUGUCUGUGUCUGGGCAGGAAUUCAAACCGACCACCCUGUGGGAGCAGCCAGGCUGUUCAGCUGCUGCUGCCUGGCUCAACAGGCACUGGAUCAACUCUGGGAGGCAGAGCUGCUGUCACACUGGAGACCACUGCACUUUAUGGAAAACAAAACACUGCCAGAUGAAGAUGUACUCGCAUGAAGAGACUCAUUAAAACAUAAAUAAUGCCUCCAGUGGGUCGGCCAUUUCUGACGCAGAAAGCUGACUCGGGUUGCUAUGGUUCUGCUGUUGCCAUGGUUACACAAGUGCAUCUUGUGCCGAGUUCGUUAACUGCAGAGAGGGGGGCGCCAAAAAGGAAACGAUGCUGAACCGAAAGACUGCUGAGGCGGAAGAUUCAGGGAAGAAAAGUCCAACAUCAGGAAGAAUGAUGAUGAGUCAGAAAACAGAGACGGAGAGAUGGAGGGAGGUCUCUUGUGAAGAUUUAGUAAAAGCCAAGAAAAUAUCCAAGACAGGUGGAUGAAUGCAGAAUAGGAAAACACACCAAUACCAUGUAAGCUUCCUGGAUUUUUUGGAUCAGGGUAACAUGGGCCUAGAAGUACUUUCCUAGGGGGGUCACUGCUUUAUCCAAGGGGGACAAUAAACUGUAAAAACUUUA